RNAcentral lists this ribosomal RNA (489 nucleotides) under uncultured bacterium. RNAcentral's name for it is "bacterial SSU rRNA". It matches the Rfam family "Bacterial small subunit ribosomal RNA", at positions 30 to 517 of the family's 1533-position model. The record is from RNAcentral.
AUUGAACGCUGGCGGCAUGCUUUACACAUGCAAGUCGAACGGCAGCACGGGAGCAAUCCUGGUGGCGAGUGGCGAACGGGUGAGUAAUGUAUCGGAACGUACCUUUCAGUGGGGGAUAACGUAGCGAAAGUUACGCUAAUACCGCAUAUUCUGUGAGCAGAAAAGCAGGGGAUCGCAAGACCUUGCGCUGAUUGAGCGGCCGAUAUCAGAUUAGCUAGUUGGUAGGGUAACGGCCUACCAAGGCGAUGAUCAGUAGGGGGCGUGAGAGCGUGGUCCCCCACACGGGUACUGAGACACGGACCCGACUCCUACGGGAGGCAGCAGUAAGGAAUAUUGGUCAAUGGAGGGAACUCUGAACCAGCCAUCCCGCGUGAAGGAUGAAGGGGCUCUGCCUUGUAAACUUCUUUUGCAUGGGACGAAAAAACUUAAUUUAUUAAGGACUGACGGUACCAUGAGAAUAAGCACCGGCUAACUCCGUGCCAGCAGCCG